GGUCAAGAGUGCCAGCGUCAAACCCCGGUUUGCUGGCCGGCAACCCUCCAGUUCGCGGUGGGGUGCCCCGGGUGACGACCAGGCCCUGCCGCCCAUGCGGUGGGGCAAGCGCGGGCC
RNAcentral lists this non-coding RNA (117 nucleotides) under Nesterenkonia xinjiangensis. Its description in RNAcentral is "SAM (S-adenosyl methionine) riboswitch aptamer". It matches the Rfam family "SAM (S-adenosyl methionine) riboswitch aptamer". Rfam says of the family: SAM-IV is a mRNA element that regulates gene expression via direct sensing of S-adenosylmethionine (SAM or AdoMet). SAM-IV riboswitches share conserved nucleotide positions with the previously described SAM-I riboswitches sequence analysis and molecular recognition experiments suggest that SAM-I and SAM-IV riboswitches share similar ligand binding sites, but have different scaffolds. Lineage: Bacteria; Bacillati; Actinomycetota; Actinomycetes; Micrococcales; Micrococcaceae. The record is from Rfam by way of RNAcentral. RNAcentral also lists the same sequence under 1 other name.